CAGGAGCUCCGCCAGCUGCCGGGUUUGAGGUCUCGAGCUCUUCUCCAAGGAGCCAACGCUACCCACAGGGACGCCAUCUUCACUUUAUUUUUGCAUCCAAGAACUUGAUGGAAUUGAUGAAAGUGCCGGAGUCUAUCACAAUGCAAAAAAUUUAUGAUUUAAAGAUAAAUGGAAGAAAUUUUAUGUGAUAAAAAUCAGUCAGCUGUUUCCCCCUACCUAUACCACUUGGAGGAAAGAGAAAAAUUAGAAGGAAUCUUAGCUUCUUCCACCUAAAAGGAUUGGAGCUGAAGAAUACAGUGUACAGACGCUCAGAGUCCUUCUGUGACUUUCAACCACCGGUGACAUGAACGGAGCAGGAGGACAUGGGCCCUCAGAUGACCUUGAAUUCCUGGCUAUCUUCUGUGCAGAUUCCACUCCCAUGC
RNAcentral lists this long non-coding RNA (422 nucleotides) under Cebus imitator (Panamanian white-faced capuchin). RNAcentral's name for it is "lncRNA (ENSCCAG00000038140.1)". The record is from RNAcentral. Lineage: Eukaryota; Metazoa; Chordata; Mammalia; Primates; Cebidae.